AAACAACCCUAACCUCCAGCUAAGGCCCCUAAUUCAUGGCUAAGUGGGAAAGCAGGUGGGACGACCAAAACAACCAGGAGGUUGGCUUAGAAGCAGCCAUCCUUUAAAGAAAGCGUAAUAGCUCACUGGUCGAGUCGGCCUGCGCGGAAGAUGUAACGGGGCUAAACCAUGCACCGAAGCUGCGGCAGCGACACUAUGUGUUGUUGGGUAGGGGAGCGUUCUGUAAGCCGUUGAAGGUGGCCUGUGAGGGUUGCUGGAGGUAUCAGAAGUGCGAAUGCUGACAUAAGUAACGAUAAAGCGGGUGAAAAGCCCGCUCGCCGGAAGACCAAGGGUUCCUGUCCAACGUUAAUCGGGGCAGGGUGAGUCGACCCCUAAGGCGAGGCCGAAAGGCGUAGUCGAUGGGAAACAGGUUAAUAUUCCUGUACUCGGUGUUACUGCGAAGGGGGGACGGAGAAGGCUAUGUUAGCCGGGCGACGGUUGUCCCGGUUUAAGCAUGUAGGCGGGAAGUUUAGGUAAAUCCGGACUUCUUUUAACGCUGAGGUGUGAUGACGAGGCACUACGGUGCUGAAGUAACAAAUGCCCUGCUUCCAGGAAAAGCCUCUAAGCAUCAGGUAACAACGAAUCGUACCCCAAACCGACACAGGUGGUCAGGUAGAGAAUACCAAGGCGCUUGAGAGAACUCGGGUGAAGGAACUAGGCAAAAUGGUGCCGUAACUUCGGGAGAAGGCACGCUGAUGGUAGGUGAAGUGACUUGCUCAUGGAGCUGAAAUCAGUCGAAGAUACCAGCUGGCUGCAACUGUUUAUUAAAAACACAGCACUGUGCAAACACGAAAGUGGACGUAUACGGUGUGACGCCUGCCCGGUGCCGGAAGGUUAAUUGAUGGGGUUAUCCGUAAGGAGAAGCUCUUGAUCGAAGCCCCGGUAAACGGCGGCCGUAACAAUAACGGUCCUAAGGUAGCGAAAUUCCUUGUCGGGUAAGUUCCGACCUGCACGAAUGGCGUAAUGAUGGCCAGGCUGUCUCCACCCGAGACUCAGUGAAAUUGAACUCGCUGUGAAGAUGCAGUGUACCCGCGGCAAGACGGAAAGACCCCGUGAACCUUUACUAUAGCUUGACACUGAACAUUGAGCCUUGAUGUGUAGGAUAGGUGGGAGGCUUUGAAGCGUGGACGCCAGUCUGCGUGGAGCCAACCUUGAAAUACCACCCUUUAAUGUUUGAUGUUCUAACGUAGACCCGUGAUCCGGGUUGCGGACAGUGUCUGGUGGGUAGUUUGACUGGGGCGGUCUCCUCCCAAAGAGUAACGGAGGAGCACGAAGGUUAGCUAAUCCUGGUCGGACAUCAGGAGGUUAGUGCAAUGGCAUAAGCUAGCUUGACUGCGAGCGUGACGGCGCGAGCAGGUGCGAAAGCAGGUCAUAGUGAUCCGGUGGUUCUGAAUGGAAGGGCCAUCGCUCAACGGAUAAAAGGUACUCCGGGGAUAACAGGCUGAUACCGCCCAAGAGUUCAUAUCGACGGCGGUGUUUGGCACCUCGAUGUCGGCUCAUCACAUCCUGGGGCUGAAGUAGGUCCCAAGGGUAUGGCUGUUCGCCAUUUAAAGUGGUACGCGAGCUGGGUUUAGAACGUCGUGAGACAGUUCGGUCCCUAUCUGCCGUGGGCGCUGGAGAAUUGAGGGGGGCUGCUCCUAGUACGAGAGGACCGGAGUGGACGCAUCACUGGUGUUCGGGUUGUCAUGCCAAUGGCAUUGCCCGGUAGCUAAAUGCGGAAAAGAUAAGUGCUGAAAGCAUCUAAGCACGAAACUUGCCCCGAGAUGAGUUCUCCCUGACUCCUUGAGAGUCCUGAAGGAACGUUGAAGACGACGACGUUGAUAGGUCGGGUGUGUAAGCGUAGCGAUACGUUGAGCUAACCGAUACUAAUGAACCGUGAGGCUUAACC
RNAcentral lists this ribosomal RNA (1927 nucleotides) under Pessonella sp. PRA-29. RNAcentral's name for it is "partial Bacterial large subunit ribosomal RNA". It matches the Rfam family "Bacterial large subunit ribosomal RNA", at positions 1020 to 2925 of the family's 2925-position model. The record is from RNAcentral. Lineage: Eukaryota; Discosea; Flabellinia; Vannellidae.